RNAcentral lists this small nuclear RNA (106 nucleotides) under Urocitellus parryii (Arctic ground squirrel). Lineage: Eukaryota; Metazoa; Chordata; Mammalia; Rodentia; Sciuridae. The record is from RNAcentral.
GUACUCACUUUGGCACCACAUAUAAUAAAACUGAAUGGUAUGAAGCAGAGCAGGCAUGYCUCUACAUAAGAAUGACAUGCAAAUUUGUGAAGACUUCCAUAUUUUU